Molecule: Y RNA, 99 nt
Filed under: Microcebus murinus (gray mouse lemur)
Lineage: Eukaryota; Metazoa; Chordata; Mammalia; Primates; Cheirogaleidae
Description: Y RNA (ENSMICG00000032688.2)
Rfam family: Y RNA
About the family: Y RNAs are components of the Ro ribonucleoprotein particle (Ro RNP), in association with Ro60 and La proteins.
Source: Rfam by way of RNAcentral
GGCUGAUCCAAGUGCAGUCAUGUUUACAACUAAUUGAUCACAACCAGUUACAGAUUUCUUUGUUCCUUCACUCCUACUACUUCACUUUACUAACCAUAU